This 1225-nucleotide long non-coding RNA is filed under the name Nicotiana tabacum (common tobacco). RNAcentral describes it as "long non-coding RNA (NTAB_LNC004270)". Lineage: Eukaryota; Viridiplantae; Streptophyta; Magnoliopsida; Solanales; Solanaceae. The record is from RNAcentral.
AGCCUGAGAGGUAGAGGGAGGAGGGGGAGGAGGCCACUGCUGCAAUGGAGGCCUAGACGUAUUAGCAUUUUGACCUAUCUGAGUGGCAUAGUUACCCUGACCAUACAUCUCAAACAGCCAGCUACCUAUAGAAUUAACAAUUCUUGGGUGCACGAUCCCACCUGGCGGUCCAAGAGAGUUCCGACGUGCAGAUCACCAAAUUAACUCAUCCAGCAGCCCGUUUAAAGACAAACUGUAGCCUUCAAUUCAAAUAAUUCAACAAAUCUAAUUCCAGCAAAGUAGCGAAUAACAAAUUUUCAUGACCUUGCAGGCAUUUACAAAGAUGAAGAGAAAGAAACAAGAGGAAGAGAAGAAAGCAGAAGCCAAUGCAAAAAUCUGACAAGGUAAUCAACUAAUCUCAGCAUUGAUACUACACGUCCAAAGUUAAGGAAUCAGACUCCAAAGGGAUAUGACUCCUCCAGUUUACAAGAUUAAAAAGUUUUAUCUUUUUUCUUUCAGCAAAGCCUAUCACCACUAUGUAGACUGCAAAAUUUACAGUUUCAGAGACGAAGAAAUAAGGCAUGCAGGAAUGUUCAUAAAGUUGAUAGCUUUCAUAUUUAACAAAACCACCUAAACGCACAUUCUAAAUAAUACUUAACAGAUAUGAAAUCUUUACCCAAAUAACAACAGGAUAAAUUUUAACUUAAUCCCUACCUAAGAAGACCUUAGGAACCAAACCCACCGCCCAACACCUUGCCCGCCCAACGCCCCCAAUGCAGCAAAACGCUUCAUAGUGUUAAGGAAUUUCUACAUCCUUCCCUCCAAUUAACAAAGAUUUUAUAACACAUAAAAUCGGUAUUAAGGAUUUCAAACUUUCCACACAAAAAUUUACUUAACAAAAUACUGAAUCAAUCAACAGCAUCUCAAUCCCAAAUUUGUAAGCAUAAAAAGCCAAACAAAAAAAAACUAAAAAGAAGAAGAAAAUAAUCUCACCUUUUAAAUUGCAAGCAUUUUCAAAUGACAGUAACAAACAUACCCAGUAAAAGAACAAUAAAAGCAAAUAACUUAAGCACAAAUAUACACUUACAAUGCAUACUAAAUGACGAAUUAGUAGGUCCGAAGAUGUCAAUUUAAACUGAUUUCGACGAUCUGAAUUGAAAUCCAGCGAGUUUCGCAUCCGAGAUUUUUGAAGUCCUCUUCUGGGUUAAAACCCUAGAGAGAGAAACAGAGAGAGCGCAGUGGCUAU